UACGUAGGGCGCAAGCGUUGUCCGGAAUUAUUGGGCGUAAAGAGCUCGUAGGCGGCCUGUUACGUCUGCUGUGAAAUCCCGGGGCUUAACCCCGGGCGUGCAGUGGAUACGGGCAGGCUGGAGGCAGGCAGGGGAGAACGGAAUUCCCGGUGUAGCGGUGAAAUGCGCAGAUAUCAGGAGGAACACCGAUGGCGAAGGCAGGUCUCUGGGCAUUAACUGACGCUGAGGAGCGAAAGCAUGGGGAGCGAACAGG
This 253-nucleotide ribosomal RNA is filed under the name uncultured bacterium. RNAcentral describes it as "partial 16S ribosomal RNA". It matches the Rfam family "Bacterial small subunit ribosomal RNA", at positions 524 to 776 of the family's 1533-position model. The record is from RNAcentral.